CAGUCGAACGAAACUUCUUUAUCACCGAGUGCUUGCACUCACCGAUAAAGAGUUGAGUGGCGAACGGGUGAGUAACACGUGGGCAACCUGCCCAAAAGAGGGGGAUAACACUUGGAAACAGGUGCUAAUACCGCAUAACCAUAGUUACCGCAUGGUAACUAUGUAAAAGGUGGCUAUGCUACCGCUUUUGGAUGGGCCCGCGGCGCAUUAGCUAGUUGGUGGGGUAAAGGCUUACCAAGGCGAUGAUGCGUAGCCGAACUGAGAGGUUGAUCGGCCACAUUGGGACUGAGACACGGCCCAAACUCCUACGGGAGGCAGCAGUAGGGAAUCUUCCACAAUGGGCGAAAGCCUGAUGGAGCAACGCCGCGUGGGUGAAGAAGGUCUUCGGAUCGUAAAACCCUGUUGUUAGAGAAGAAAGUGCGUGAGAGUAACUGUUCACGUUUCGACGGUAUCUAACCAGAAAGCCACGGCUAACUACGUGCCAGCAGCCGCGGUAAUACGUAGGUGGCGAGCGUUAUCCGGAUUUAUUGGGCGUAAAGGGAACGCAGGCGGUCUUUUAAGUCUGAUGUGAAAGCCUUCGGCUUAACCGGAGUAGUGCAUUGGAAACUGGGAGACUUGAGUGCAGAAGAGGAGAGUGGAACUCCAUGUGUAGCGGUGAAAUGCGUAGAUAUAUGGAAGAACACCAGUGGCGAAAGCGGCUCUCUGGUCUGUAACUGACGCUGAGGUUCGAAAGCGUGGGUAGCAAACAGGAUUAGAUACCCUGGUAGU
Molecule: ribosomal RNA, 768 nt
Filed under: uncultured bacterium
Lineage: Bacteria
Description: bacterial SSU rRNA
Rfam family: Bacterial small subunit ribosomal RNA
Source: RNAcentral